GUGUCAGCAGCCGCGGUAAUACGUAGGGGGCGAGCGUUAUCCGGAAUUAUUGGGCGUAAAGGGCGCGUAGGCGGAUAUUUAAGUCAGGUGUGAAAACCCAGGGCUCAACCCUGGAUCUGCAUCUGAUACUGGGUAUCUUGAGGACAGGAGAGGAAAGUGGAAUUCCUAGUGUAGCGGUGAAAUGCGUAGAUAUUAGGAGGAACACCAGUGGCGAAGGCGACUUUCUGGACUGUAACUGACGCUGAGGCGCGAAAGCGUGGGGAGCAAACAGGAUUAGAUACCCUGGUAGUCC
This 292-nucleotide ribosomal RNA is filed under the name uncultured bacterium. Its description in RNAcentral is "partial 16S ribosomal RNA". It matches the Rfam family "Bacterial small subunit ribosomal RNA", at positions 505 to 796 of the family's 1533-position model. The record is from RNAcentral.